Hemicordylus capensis (graceful crag lizard) is the source of this 6152-nucleotide long non-coding RNA. RefSeq lists it as uncharacterized. The record is from RefSeq and is a predicted model, not a curated record. The transcript has 2 exons. Lineage: Eukaryota; Metazoa; Chordata; Lepidosauria; Squamata; Cordylidae.
UUUCCCCCCCUUUUUCGUUUUUCUCUCUCUGCUGGAAUGCUAUUUGUGUUCGGUUUCCAGCUGCUGUUUUGGCUGGGAGAAAGGGGGGGAAAGGGUGAAGGAGCACACUUCAGUUUUCUUUGUUUUUGUUAUUGAACUGAACCGCAGCUCUUCCUCAGUGCUGUGAUUGUCAUCAAGCACUAUUUAGGAGGGAGAAAAAUUUGUAAGUAAGAAGGGGAAUUUGGAUGGAAUGUAUUGCUAUGUGGUUUGAAGUUUGAAGGAUGGAAACUGAAUUACAGGCAUGAUUGAAAAUUAUGGACACUGUGGUCUAGAAUUUGCUUGUAGGUAAGCAUGCUUAAACAAUAUGACGUUUUAUUAACAUUUUAUUUGUUUACAUGCAGUCUAAAAUAUGUAACUGUUCGUUUUGAUAUGUUUCUAAAAUGGUAUUUGAUUGUAUCCUUGACAUGUGAACUUAUCUUCCUCCUUCCACCCACUUUGUCUGAAGGUUAACUGUGUUUGCUGUUGAUUCCAGGGGGGGCUGUGUAUGUGUGUGUGCUUUUGAAAUGGUAUUUAAUUGUAUCACUAAUAUGUGAGCUUUUCUGCCUCCCGUCAAGAGCUUUGUUUAAGUAUUGCCUGCGUCUGAUGUUAAUUUCAGGGUUGCUGUGGGGGUGUUUGUGUAUAUCUGGAGCGCUAUGAAGGAGUGCUAAACGUGCUUAAAAGUUAUGUCGUCACAGUUUCUUUUGUUUCAAUGCUGUUCAGAAUAUGUAGUUGUUCAUUUUGUUGUGUUUUUAUGAUGGUGUUUAGUUGUAACACUAAGAUGGGAGCUUCCCUGCUUCCUAUCAUAUACUAUCCUAUCAUAUGAACACAUACUAUGUGUUCAGUGUUACUAUGCCUGAUGUUAAUUCCAGGGGGAGCUGUGUAUACCAUGAUAACUCUGCCUCCCCCCCCCCACUGUUUAAUAUUGACUGCGUCUUAUGUUGAUUCCAGGGGAAUGUUAUGAUUCCAGUUAUGAUUCUAUUAAGUUUUGUGUGAAAUUCCACAUUUUGUUAGAAUGCAGAGGGUAUUCUGCCUUUCUGCCUAUUCAUUUUGCUGAUGGGACUUUUUGUUAUAUAUGUGGUUGCAAUGUAUACAGGAGGAAGGGCAGGUUUUGUCUACUCCAUUCUCCCAAUGUCAGAUUGCGUGUGUAUUCCUUGUUACGGGAUGCAAUUUUUUUUGUCGGAUGUAAUUUUCUACUUUGGUAUUGGCUUCUUUAUUACAAGACUGUAAUACUUCUUGGGCUAAAGGGAGAUUGGGGAAAGGCUUUGUGAUAAUAUAUACUAUUGUUUUCUUUUUGUUUUCUGUGUGGCCCAUGAAAAUGUGAUCUCCUCACUCCAAAUACUGAGUGAGAAGGAAAGUCUUUGAACAGCCACUUGUUGUGGGUGAGAAGGAAAAGAAAUUCUUGGUCAAAUAGUCAAAUGGAGCUAUUGUUUAAUAUCUUUUCAAUAUGUAAGAAAUAUUCCUGCUAAUUGAUUUUAAUGUGAACUGAGAGUAUUGUCAAUGGGUCUGAGGCUUCAAAUUUAUAAAUUUGUCCUAUCGCCAGCCUUGCUUUGCCUUCACAGUAGCUGAAUUUUGACAUUCCAGAUCCCGGAUGUGGGAUGUGGAAAUUUGUUUGGCCACUCCUGCAAGUGGUAGGGAGUUCCAAAGGACUGGUUUGCAUAUUACCUGGAAAAUCUCCCAGAUUGAAAGGGAUCAAGUUUUUGUGUGUUAUCAUGGAAUCCAUACCCUGUUUUCACAGCUCCCGCCUAGAGAAUAGAUAAUAACUGUGUUUAUCACAGACUUCACUCCUCGGCGAAACUAUGGACAUUUUUCUUGAUGAUAUCUUUUAACAGGGAAGCCUGUUUCAUGAGACACUGGACCUCAUAUAAGGGGUUUUAAAUCCUGUUUCAACAAGAUUGCUCAUUGGGUGAAGCAUUAUACCUGUUGUCAACAGCAGUUGUCGCAAGCCCCAAUUGAGGACAUCCCCUAUUUUGGACUUUGGGGAAGGGGAAAAAGGGCAAGCAGGAAAGCAAAACAUAAGUUGGAAAGAAAAUGCCAAAAGAUCAAAUUGAAAAUAGCCUCAGGUUUGUUUAUUGUAUUGGGCUAUUCAGGGACUCAGUCUCAGUAUGAUGUCCCUACCCGAGAAAGGGGGGGGGGGAUUGGAAAUUCAUGUAUCUGUCUUUUAUUCCUAAAAAUGAGCAGGAUUGCCUUGAACUAUCUUUCCCGGAAGGGGUGUCUAUCUGUCAAAGACCAAGGCAAUUGUCAGGAGAGAGGAAAAGGAGCCUUUAGAGGACCGGGAGGAGAACCGACAGGCCAGGCUAACCAACAGCGGCUGCCUGAAAGGGGGGUUCCCCAUCUAUAUUUCCAGUCCAGGCCAAUGAUGACGGGACAUCCGUUGGCUGCCCUGUUUUGGGUUCGAGGAAAAGGCCGUGAUGCAGGUUUCUUGUUCCUUCUUCUCAUACAUCCCGGAGUGUUUUAGUUACUGAUGCCAAAUAUCUGAUGGAAUUAUGGUGAUGCCAAAUAUCCGAAUUGAUGCCAAAUAUCUGAGGAAGGCCUGUAUGCAUCCAGAGGACGGCCUUGUAUAUACUCGUGCCCUGAGAAGCCUAUACCCACUAUACCUGGUGCCUCUCGUUCCCUGUGAGGGACAGUGACUCUACCUGUUCAACGACCCCAGCCUUUUGUAGACUCCAAGUUGAACCUUAACACCCGGUUGUGUUCAAAUAAGGGGGGAGGGGAUAGGUUGUGGUUGUCAACAGGGGGAGCGGGCAUUCAUGUCGUGAUCUGAAGUGUCAAGCAGCCUUGCUGGGUGAAGAAUUCCUGGAUGGAUAAGUUUUUAAAGAAACACUUGACAUGUUUGGCUUUGGAGCUUCAUUGAAAAUGGGUUAGAGCAUUGCCAUUAGCUCUCUCGUGUACGUCUGACCCUUUUGCCCCUUUUUGGGGUGUUCUAUGGGUGGUUCCCAUUUCGAAUAUCAAGAAUGACUUUGACUUGCUUGUGAGGGGGGAUGAUGAACAGCAGGUGUAUGUACAGGAACUGGUGGAGAGACUUGUUACCGGAUUUGCCCAUGUCCCCAACCUACUGCUGACCAGCCUCUACGUGUACAGUCUGGGGAGCCUUGAUGUCUGUGACUGUGGGAUUGGGGAUGGCUCUUGCAGCAUACUUGUGAAUGUAUUUUUGUGUAUUUCUGUGGAUUUCUGUCACAGAUAUUGGUUUGGGUGCCCCAACUCAGUGGGGUAGGUGAGGCCAAGUUAUCUGUUUGGUCACUCAGGUUUGGCUGUGGGUUGCUGUAUUCAUAUUGUUCUCAACUACUUGGGGCCUAGUGAAACCCCACCCCAUGGUACAGGCAGUAGUCCUUGCCACCAGGCUUAAGGGCUGCUGGGUGUGCACAAAUGCUAACAUACUGCAAAAAUUGCCUGGUUAGGAGGUCCAGUACACCUCACAUGGUGGUUAAGGCCCCCACGUGUGGGAUGAGGUCCUGUUUGGGUUGGCAACACUAACUGACCUUGCUUGGAGACUCACAUGGAGGUGAGGUGGGGCCCAGGUUAAGACCUGGUUCUUCUUAGGAAUACCUGAAUGGUGGAGAGUGAAGCAUUGGUUGCAUUAUCCUGUUGGCAUCCAAAAUGAUACCACAUGGCUACUGUGCCCACUCCUGGCUUGUUGGCAUUGUGAAUGUGGGGAAGUAUUUCCCUCUGCAUGAUGGAGAACAUACAGAUACCUCAGUUACAUUGUUCAUUUGCAUGGAGGGAGUAUAAGGCUAGUGGGGAUUCUGGUGAGCAAUGAAACAUGCAGGGAUGACAUGUACAUCUGGGGUACCCCUUUUGGUAUCUAUGGCUCAGCAUCAUCUGUGCCAGCCACAGGGAUUACUCCCUGACCGGUGCUCCAGCCUGAAGGACCAAUGUAAGAUGUCUUUCAGUUGUUGGGAAGAAGCACUGAGAGAACAGAAAUUUCUACUAGAUUGAGUCAUUGUGGUGCUACCUAUAUUUCAUUUCUUACCCGUUAUGAGAUUAAAGGGAAGAGGCAAGUAAACUAGACACCAUGUGGUUGGGCGUGUCAGGAAGGAGACCAGUGCUGCCAUAGUCUUGGUGUUUCAGUUUUGUAGCCGAACAGCAUAUAAAACAUGACCCCUGAGUGGAAGGGCCGUUACGUCCCAACCUAUAGGGCCCCUUGGGUGGCAGUACCUCCAGAGUAUUGAAUCUAGCUUUCAGCAUUGGCAUUGAACAUCAACCGAUGGCAGUGUGGAACAUAGGGUUUCACAUGGCCUGGAGGGCAAUCCUAUCCAGUCUGGGGGUAAUUGGACUGGAAAUGGCGACAAUAAUUAUCUCCCAGGAAGCUGAGGAGUCAUUUAAUGCUGUUUUGUGUGUAUUGUUGGACUUGCAAGGAGAGGUCCAGUCUUGAUGAUGGUCUCUGAAAUGUUUCCAAUAUGCUCAUUGUCCAACAAGGGGGGGCAUAUUUUCAGUGUGAACACAAGGAUUAUCCUAUUUCUCUGAUGUGGGUGUCAUUGCUAUGAGGGAAUACUUAGUAAGUAUGCCCUUUAUUUUGAUUGAUGGACUUAAUAAGAUAACUGUAUAAAAAUGUGCAGAUGUACGUAAUAUCCUGGUGUAACAUUAUUUCCCAUGUUGGUUGUCAGAAGGAAAUUAUUUACUGUUUCUCCUGUACAGAACUGCUUCUUAUGAUAAUGUGCACUGAUGGUUGUGAUGGCCUUGGGCUUGUUUCUGUUUGCUUGUUGUUACUUGUGUUAAUUGUGUACCCUGCUACUUAUCUACCGUUAGAGGAUAUGGAACCUAUUGAGAGCCAUGUAUGCACAGAAGUCUUAGAUUUGAACUAUUCUGCUCACAGUGACUUGAAGGAUUUACCCCUUCUGGGAAUAAACUAUGAAUGGAGGCAGCUUUAUGCUAAUAGGAGGAGAAGGGCAGGCUAUGCUAUGGUCACCGCAUCCUCUGUUCUUGGGGUCACCCCACUGCCCCCUGGAAUGAGUGCCCAACUGGCAGAACUGGUAACACUUCAUAAAGCGUUGGAAUUGGCUGUGGGCUAUAGGAUGCUGCUUUGUAGGCUGGACGGGGAUCAGAUCAGCCUGUUAAAUGCUCAGUUGCUACAGGCAGUCCAGCCCACAGCCCACAGCCGUGGCAGUUAUGCAUUGCAAGGAACAUCAGGGUGGGCAGGACCCUAUAGCGCAAGGGAAUGCCUUUGCUGAUUCCAUUGCCAGGCUUGCAGCUUGAUUGAAGGCGAUCCCUGCUUUCCAUGUUCCCUUAGUAAACCAUUCACAUCCUUUGCCUUUGACCCCUGAAUAUACUAAGGAAGAUUUGCAGUCCCUACCCACUUGCCCCAUGAGGACUGGACAUAGAAUAAGAAUGAGUGAUGAAUUGAAUUUGAGCUUGUAUUGCAAUUAUGUCAAAAAGCGCAGUCUAACGUAUUCUGUUUGUGGAAGGCAGUUAGUUCAAUUGUCCUAUUGGCUUUUGUUUUGAUUUGUAGAUAUAAUUUUCCCUCGGGUUCAACAUAGUGGGGCUUAUUUGUGAGUAAGCAUUCAUUUGUUUCAAUUUGAUUAGUUAGAAUGUGAACUUGAUAUGUGUAACAGCCCAGUUCUGCUCAUUGGAGUUCCAAGUUUAUUCCCCAAGUGAUUAUGCACAGAAUUGGAUGCCCUAAUAUUUGGGUUUUUUAUAGAACUUUGUAUAAUGAUGUCUUGUAUGGUCUCAGCGUAUGAUGUAUGUGUAGUAUUGGUUCACCCUAGAGGGAGAGAUAGGUUGCUUUAAUGGAUCUGAAGGUACAGAUACGAACAAUAGAAAGGGGGGAAUUGAUGUAUAGUAAAUCAGAAAUGCAUAGAAGUUCAUAGCUUGCCAUAAGCAACGCCAUUAUGUUUAACUAAACUCGAGGAUCUGCUCUGCUAGAAGGAUGCUUACCACUGUGUAUUCUCUCUGGUAGUUUUCCGUCCCCCACAGAUUAGAGUGACCAUGGAUUUAGAAUGUAGAACAAUUUUAAGAUAAGGCUGUCUGUCUGCCUGCAUGUAUGUUUGUGGUUUAUUCCUUAAUCUUAGCAAGUCAUGAUGACAUAUUUGCUAUGUGGCUGAACAACAUGUUGUUCUAGAGAACAUGUUGUUCUAUGUUGUUUUGAGCAUGAGCCAAACAAUACCAUUACUACUUAAGAGUAAAUAAAUCUUUGAUCUUGU